Molecule: ribosomal RNA, 500 nt
Filed under: uncultured bacterium
Lineage: Bacteria
Description: partial 16S ribosomal RNA
Rfam family: Bacterial small subunit ribosomal RNA
Source: RNAcentral
AUUGAACGCUGGCGGCAUGCCUCACACAUGCAAGUCGAACGGCAGCACGGGAGCAAUCCUGGUGGCGAGUGGCGAACGGGUGAGUAAAGUAUCGGAACGUGCCCAGUCGUGGGGGAUAACGUAGCGAAAGUUACGCUAAUACCGCAUACGAUCUAUGGAUGAAAGCGGGGGAUCGCAAGACCCUGCGCGAUUGGAGCGGCCGAUAUCAGAUUAGGUAGUUGGUGGGGUAAAGGCUCACCAAGCCGACGAUCUGUAGCUGGUCUGAGAGGACGACCAGCCACACUGGGACUGAGACACGGCCCAGACUCCUACGGGAGGCAGCAGUGGGGAAUUUUGGACAAUGGGCGAAAGCCUGAUCCAGCCAUGCCGCGUGCAGGAUGAAGGCCUUCGGGUUGUAAACUGCUUUUGUACGGAACGAAAAGGUUUGGGCUAAUAAGCUGAGCUCAUGACGGUACCGUAAGAAUAAGCACCGGCUAACUACGUGCCAGCCGCCGCGGUAA